Molecule: long non-coding RNA, 410 nt
Organism: Trichechus manatus latirostris (Florida manatee)
Lineage: Eukaryota; Metazoa; Chordata; Mammalia; Sirenia; Trichechidae
Exons: 3
Source: RefSeq, a predicted model, not a curated record
AGGUUCCUGGGACUUGAGCUAGCAGCUUACCUGCAGUCUUGCCUGCCUAUCUUGGGAUUUGUCGAUCUUUGCAUCCUGUGAGCAAGAUCCUUGCUUUCUGACCUGUUCAUCUUGGGUUGGUCAGCUCCUGUGGCUACAUGAAUCAGAAGAAGCCUCUAUUCUGACCCACGGAUUUGGGAAGUUCCAGCCUCUACGACCAAAUGAUUUUGUUCUCAAGCUUAUUUCCUCAUGGACCCACAGUGGCUGCUGCAGCUCCAAAAAAUACAAUGCAGAAGGCAUCUUCUUUCAAUUUUCUAGGCAUGCUGCUGAAGUUUCCCAUCAAUGAAUAAGAUCGCUGGGAACUUUCAUGUUAGUAAUGGAGAACUCUGGGAGCUCAGGUACUUGGAAUUACCCAACAAUUCAGAGCCAGA